GGAGAGGUGGCAGAGUGGUUGAAUGCGCACGAUUCGAAAUCGUGUUUACGUUCAUAGCGUAACGAGGGUUCGAAUCCCUCCCUCUCCGCCA
Molecule: transfer RNA, 91 nt
Filed under: Alcanivoracaceae bacterium
Lineage: Bacteria; Pseudomonadati; Pseudomonadota; Gammaproteobacteria; Oceanospirillales; Alcanivoracaceae
Also listed under: 2 other names
Description: tRNA-Ser
Rfam family: tRNA
About the family: Transfer RNA (tRNA) molecules are approximately 80 nucleotides in length.
Source: RNAcentral